ACAGAUGAAGCAUUACUAUGCUGAGAAGACAGUGCCAUGUGAAAGCCUGCCAGACAACCCAGACGGAGUGCCAUGAAGAGCUGUCUAAUUACAAGACCUGAUGGCUGUGUAUUUGGAAGUUCACAGACUUGAAGAUCAGAAUGAAACAGAAAUUGAUUCUAGUCCUAGAAGAGGAAAGGAGGAAUACCCUAACAAGGUAUGCUUGGCUUACCUUCUCAGCUCCCAUGGUCUCUCUACCUCCCUAGAAAACCAACUGCUGGGAGCUAUAUGCAUAACAUACAGGCAUACUAGGAUGCCUAGCAGGCAGUGUGCAGUAAAUAAAGGAGGGAACAGAGAGAAGGUAGCAGAAAUGUAGAAAGAGAUGUAGUAGAGGUAAGAGCAUGGAGCCUAGAAAAAUAUCUUUGGAUGUGAAAGGAAGUGAGGGUAGGAAAUAGAAAACAAUAAUAAGGCUGUAGACUGGAAUCAAAUAAUGACUACAUCUGGAAAUGGGGACAUUCAUGAAAGAAACUGUUCUGUGCCCUAUUCCCAUUUUCAUCUCUAGACUAGGUGUCUGUUUAGGUGAUGUCUCCCAUGACAUAAGGAUUUACUUCAAGUACUCUAUAAUGUAACAGUUUUGGCAGAUGGAAAGCUGCAAUUCUCCUUGGAAAAGCUAAUCCAUUGAAAAGAGCAUGGUAGUUGAACAAUAACUCCCCAGAAAUUCUACAACAAUUGACUCAGGAGAAGUUUAGUUAUAGAUUAACCCCAGAUAAGGGGAUUGAUUGGUUAGGUAAACUAAACAUCAAUUCAGUUUAACCCAG
RNAcentral lists this long non-coding RNA (797 nucleotides) under Cyanistes caeruleus (blue tit). Its description in RNAcentral is "lncRNA (ENSCCEG00000002313.1)". Lineage: Eukaryota; Metazoa; Chordata; Aves; Passeriformes; Paridae. The record is from RNAcentral.